CUGACAUAUGGCUCAAUGCAACAAGCAACCAAACCCAAAGCUAUUUGGCAGUGACCUACACAUUUGCUGAAAGAAGAGCUGGGGCCUGAGGGCACAGCUCAAAUCUAGCUUGUCUCAAUGGGAAAAGGCACUUCCCCUUUCUCUUUUACGGUCUUGUGCUAUUUCCCCAAGACACAGAACCAAUUUGCACUGGGAAGUUCGUACUAAUGCAAAGCAAGAUGAGACAGCGGCUGAGAUCUCCCCCGUGACAGGGCUGCAAUGAUGCAAGCACAGGAAGCAGCCAGGAACUUUGCAGGGGUUGGGAGAACUGAAGUUAAACUCUGCAGUCCAGCUGUUCCACUUGGCUAACCCAGCUUUAUGACAACUAUGACACCUACUGCCAUCAAGGGAGCUACAACUUCAUUAAAAGUGG
This 412-nucleotide long non-coding RNA is filed under the name Numida meleagris (helmeted guineafowl). Its description in RNAcentral is "lncRNA (ENSNMEG00000000134.1)". Lineage: Eukaryota; Metazoa; Chordata; Aves; Galliformes; Numididae. The record is from RNAcentral.